UGUGUGAUGGAUAGCCUGUGUGAUGGAUAGCCUGUGUGAUGGAUAGCCUAUGUGAUGGAUAGCCUGUGUGAUGGAUAGACUGUGUGAUGGAUAGCCUGUGUGAUGGAUAGCCUGUGUGAUGGAUAGACUGUGUGAUGGAUAGACUGUGUGAUGGAUAGCCUGUGUGAUGGAUAGCCUGUGUGAUGGAUAGCCUGUGUGAUGGAUAGCCUGUGUGAUGGAUAGCCUGUGUGAUGGAUAGACUGUGUCUGAUCAUCUCAAAACAAAAAAAGAAACUGCCAGAUGGACACCUCCCCCAGAACUAGCAUGAGUUUCUGAGCCAAUUAUCAGGUUCAUCAAACAAAACAAGUGUGACAUAACCUGGUUGAGUGUGGGGGAAUGCUAGAAUGCAGCACUUUAUGUAACACAUUUUGAAUCGUAUUUGUGUAUAUAUUUGUUUGUUUCGAUACAAGCCUUCCUGUUUUACAUAUGACCAACCACCUGUCAUUUGGGUUACACUUAGACACUGAUCUAACAUCUCCCCCCAAUUGAUUAAGGCUCUACAUUUGGGUUCGUAAACUGGACUCAGAUCUGUGCCCAUUACCAUGUGUGGAAGACCGAGGAUGGGGAUGGCCGUAAAACCCUCUAGUUUACAUUGACGUCACAGGAAGGCGGCUCUCUGCGCGCACAGGUGUUCACCACAGGUGGACGGUGAGGAAAUGUGCGUCCUGUAAAACGAGUUCAGCUCUUCCCUGCCGUUAUUUGAGCUCAAUCACUCAUACAGCUUAGGUAUGGCUCACAACUGCGUGGGGAACUGUUCGCCGUUAUUUUUCCUAGCCAUCGCGUUUGACGUCGGCGGUUUGACAGUUAUUUUAGUUGGUAUUUUCGCCGAUCUAAAGUUGGACGGUCACUUCUACGGUGAUUUCCUAAUCUACACGGGUGCACUCAUCAUUUUCCUCAGUCUGGCCUGGUGGAUUUUGUGGUACACGGGCAACAUAAAGGUUUACUCCGAGGACUUUGAUAAAAGCACCCUGGACAAUUUUGCGCACUGGGCAAGAAAGUUUUCGGAACAGCUCCCGAAGAGCAAGAUUAAAACUCUGGAAGCUGGGGAGAAGUGCAAGUGGAAUGGAAAGGAAUCCGUGAACGGAACGGUUCCUGAUCAAACUCUAUCGCGAAUUACGUGUGAACACAGCAGCAGCCUGACGGGACACGACAAUUUAGGAUAUGACCGAAGUUUUGACAACCAGCCUACAGAGAAAACGGUGGAGUUGGGGAUUCUGAAUAAUGGUGUUCCAGAACAUUGUGGAUGGAAAAGUGGUUAGGCUUCUCUGACACGCAGUUGGUGAUCUCUGGUUCUCGGGUUUUGAAGAAAGUAUGCCCCGCUCCUACCCAAGCGCUGCUUUUUAAAUCCAUACAGACUGUAAACCUUUUCGCCUAUAUGAACUAAAGACACUUUAAAUAUAGAAGACUACUUUCAUUCAGGGAGAGGCCCCGCGCAGAAGCAAUCUCCGGGCCCUGCACAAAGGAUAGAAAUGUCUGUGAAUUUUUACUUGUAAAUGGAUAAAUAACUAGAUUAUUUUAUGUCCUGAAUUUUACAUGGUCCGUUUUGAAGAUGUUUUUUUUUUAGAAAAUAAUAACGCCAUUUGUCUGGGUUCUUAAUCAGACGUCUGUGACUGGAUAGCUCGCACAACAACACAGAUAUUGGAUUCCACUUCUGCUAGAAGUCGGUGUUAUUCAGACAAAUUGUUCUUCCAGAAAGAGAGAAGGAAUUAGAUAAUUAUAAUAUUCUAAAUCCAUUUGAGGGACAUUAACAAAUCAAAACAUCUUCCCUAGCUCAGAUCCUUUAUUCGUGUUUGUGUCUGGUUGGCAGAUCAAUGCUACACCUGUCUGGGUUGUUUUGCUUGCACUAAGCUGUCUGUCUGCCACUGGUUAUACUGAUAACAUAUUCCCUACACACACACUGAGACGAUAUAGAAUGUAUCAUGUAGAACAGAUAGGAUUUUCUGUUCUAUUUAUUAUAUUUCUAUCUGCAACAUUCUGAACUGAGCUGAAUACACACUGGCACAAGGGUUACAUCUCCAUUCCAGAAACUGACUUGUUACCUGUAAAAAAUAAAUAAAUACAUCUUUACAAACAUUC
Molecule: non-coding RNA, 2115 nt
Organism: Salvelinus sp. IW2-2015
Lineage: Eukaryota; Metazoa; Chordata; Actinopteri; Salmoniformes; Salmonidae
Source: RefSeq, a predicted model, not a curated record